This 72-nucleotide transfer RNA is filed under the name Bos taurus (domestic cattle). It matches the Rfam family "tRNA". From Rfam's summary of the family: Transfer RNA (tRNA) molecules are approximately 80 nucleotides in length. Lineage: Eukaryota; Metazoa; Chordata; Mammalia; Artiodactyla; Bovidae. The record is from Rfam by way of RNAcentral. RNAcentral also lists the same sequence under 2 other names.
UCCCUGGUGGCUCAGACGGUAAAGCGUCUGUCUGCAAUGCGGGAGACCUGGGUUCGAUUCCACGGUAGGGAA